UACGUAGGUGGCAAGCGUUGUCCGGAUUUAUUGGGUUUAAAGGGUGCGUAGGCGGUCUUAUAAGUCAGUGCUGAAAUAUCCCGGCUUAACCGGGAGGGUGGCAUUGAUACUGUAGGACUUGAGUGAAGUCGAGGUAGGCGGAAUUGACGGUGUAGCGGUGAAAUGCUUAGAUAUCGUCAAGAACACCAAUAGUGAAGACAGUUUACUAGACUUCAACUGACGCUGAGGCACGAAAGUGUGGGGAUCAAACAGG
This 253-nucleotide ribosomal RNA is filed under the name uncultured bacterium. RNAcentral's name for it is "partial 16S ribosomal RNA". It matches the Rfam family "Bacterial small subunit ribosomal RNA", at positions 524 to 776 of the family's 1533-position model. The record is from RNAcentral.